Molecule: ribosomal RNA, 270 nt
Filed under: uncultured Methylobacterium sp.
Lineage: Bacteria; Pseudomonadati; Pseudomonadota; Alphaproteobacteria; Hyphomicrobiales; Methylobacteriaceae
Description: partial 16S ribosomal RNA
Rfam family: Bacterial small subunit ribosomal RNA
Source: RNAcentral
AUUGGACAAUGGGCGCAAGCCUGAUCCAGCCAUGCCGCGUGAGUGAUGAAGGCCUUAGGGUUGUAAAGCUCUUUUGUCCGGGACGAUAAUGACGGUACCGGAAGAAUAAGCCCCGGCUAACUUCGUGCCAGCAGCCGCGGUAAUACGAAGGGGGCCAGCGUUGCUCGGAAUCACUGGGCGUAAAGGGCGCGUAGGCGGCCAUUCAAGUCGGGGGUGAAAGCCUGUGGCUCAACCACAGAAUUGCCUUCGAUACAUUCGGCUUGAGACCCA